This 90-nucleotide microRNA precursor is filed under the name Canis lupus familiaris (dog). RNAcentral's name for it is "mir-8799 microRNA precursor family". It matches the Rfam family "mir-8799 microRNA precursor family". The record is from Rfam by way of RNAcentral. Lineage: Eukaryota; Metazoa; Chordata; Mammalia; Carnivora; Canidae. RNAcentral also lists the same sequence under 1 other name.
GGGGGAUUGCAGGAUCUUGGGCUGUGUCCCUGGCGCCCUGUACUCCCGGGCCUGCGCUGUUGGAAUUGCACUCUGGCCACGCAGCUCCCU